UACGGGGGGGGCGAAGCGUUGUUCGGAAUUACUGGGCGUAAAGGGCUCGUAGGCGGCCAACUAAGUCAGACGUGAAAUCCCCAGGCUCAACCUGGGAACUGCGUCUGAUACUGGAUGGCUUGAAUUCGGGAGAGGGAUGCAGAAUUCCAGGUGUAGCGGUGAAAUGCGUAGAUAUCUGGAGGAAUACCGGUGGCGAAGGCGGCAUCCUGGACCGACAUUGACGCUGAUGAGCGAAAGCUAGAGGAGCAAACGGG
RNAcentral lists this ribosomal RNA (254 nucleotides) under uncultured bacterium. Its description in RNAcentral is "partial 16S ribosomal RNA". It matches the Rfam family "Bacterial small subunit ribosomal RNA", at positions 524 to 776 of the family's 1533-position model. The record is from RNAcentral.